Molecule: non-coding RNA, 21 nt
Filed under: Caenorhabditis elegans
Lineage: Eukaryota; Metazoa; Nematoda; Chromadorea; Rhabditida; Rhabditidae
Source: RNAcentral
UUUUUUGAGCUUUUUUGUGUU